UCCAGCUACAUGUAUCUUACGUCAUCAGUGUGCACUGGCGACUACACGCGUCACACAAUCAGCGCAUGUGUGCUGUAGGUCUGUACCGGGAGCCCUUAAAAGCUGGACGCAGACCCCACCCUCUCUCUGUUCUGCUCCCUCUCCCCCCACCAUCUCUCUCUCUCUUUCCCCCGCAAGCGUGGUCCUUUUGUCCCUCCUCCCCUUCCUCCUAAUAAAGCUCUCCGCUACUAAGCAACCGGGUUCUGUCGUGACCAUGACCUUUCUGCCGGUAACCAGUGUCGCUUAUCAUUCAUUUCAUUGGUGCCACCGAGACUCGGAUAGGACAUUCCGCCCGCUCUGCCUCCGGAGCUGAGUGCUGGAAACCUAUACUGAGGUUCAUCGGACUUGUGACUGCCCACUCCACUUUUCUCAUUUGCCUAGCCGCCAGACCCGCACACCACACCUGCCAACCAGAUUGCAUCCUGUCAGACACAAAAGUGGCCAGAGUACCAGGCCAAGAGGGAUGAACAGCUCCCAAGCAGCAGGACAGCUCACCAUCCCAGGACGUCUACCCCACUGAGCCAACCGACGCCCACCAAGUCAGCUGGAAGCAGUUUUUCUGGGAGAAAUGAUGCCCCUAUUCCUGUUCACUUGCUUUUUUAUAAUAAGCAAUAAGUCUGGAAUGUUAGAAUUCUGCCCUCACUCCAGCUGCAUGCGUCUUACAUCAUUAGUGUGUGCUGGCGACUACAUGCAUGAGGCAUGGCCACGCAAUCAGCGCAUGCGUGGUGUAGCUCCAUCCCGGGAGCCCUUAAAAGCCGGGUGCAGGCCCCCCCAUCUCUCUCUGCUCUGCUCUCUACCCCCCACCCCACCCCACCAUCUUUCUCUCUCUUUCCUCCCCAGGCCUGGUCCUUUUAUCCCUCCUCCCCUUCCUCCUAAUAAAGCUCUGUGCUACUAA
This is a long non-coding RNA of Peromyscus californicus insignis, 934 nucleotides long. RefSeq lists it as uncharacterized. Lineage: Eukaryota; Metazoa; Chordata; Mammalia; Rodentia; Cricetidae. The record is from RefSeq and is a predicted model, not a curated record. The transcript has 2 exons.